GAACGUGAACGGGGGCAACUCCUAGUAAAGUGGCGCACGGGUGAGUAACGCGUAGGUAAUCUACCAAAGUGUCUGGAAUAACCUGCCGAAAGGCGGGCUAAUACUGGAUAGAGCGACGGAAUCCGUAAUUGGGUUUUUCGGGAAAGGGAGGGAGCAAUCCCCCUUGCUUUGGGAUGAGCCUGCGUCCCAUCAGCUAGUUGGUAAGGUAACGGCUUACCAAGGCGAUGACGGGUAGCUGGUCUGAGAGGAUGAUCAGCCACACUGGAACUGAAACACGGUCCAGACUCCUACGGGAGGCAGCAGUGGGGAAUCUUGCGCAAUGGACGAAAGUCUGACGCAGCCACGCCGCGUGAGUGAAGAAGGCCUUCGGGUUGUAAAGCUCUGUCGCCCGGGACGAAAAUUUUUGAGGUUAACAGCCUCAGAAACUGACGGUACCGGGAGAGGAAGCACCGGCUAACUCUGUG
This 464-nucleotide ribosomal RNA is filed under the name uncultured bacterium. Its description in RNAcentral is "bacterial SSU rRNA". It matches the Rfam family "Bacterial small subunit ribosomal RNA", at positions 64 to 507 of the family's 1533-position model. The record is from RNAcentral.